GGUUCUCUGGGUUGUUCGUGCCCGGUUGAUGUCCCUGAGCCGAUAAUUCUUUACAUCAGGGAUUCUUUUCCAGUGCUAUUGUGCAAGCUCGGCUCGUACCGAGAAGCCUGCGGUGCUGACUGGCGUCCCGCCUUGAACCAUGGGUUCAAGGGCUAACACUGGGUACGGCAAUUCGGAGAACAC
RNAcentral lists this non-coding RNA (183 nucleotides) under Rheinheimera sp. Its description in RNAcentral is "6S RNA". It matches the Rfam family "6S / SsrS RNA". Rfam says of the family: E. coli 6S RNA was the first non coding RNA to be sequenced, but its function was unknown until recently. It consists of 184 nucleotides that fold into an extended hairpin structure with a large single-stranded internal bulge. Lineage: Bacteria; Pseudomonadati; Pseudomonadota; Gammaproteobacteria; Chromatiales; Chromatiaceae. The record is from RNAcentral.